This 73-nucleotide transfer RNA is filed under the name Nelumbo nucifera (sacred lotus). It matches the Rfam family "tRNA". Rfam says of the family: Transfer RNA (tRNA) molecules are approximately 80 nucleotides in length. The record is from Rfam by way of RNAcentral. Lineage: Eukaryota; Viridiplantae; Streptophyta; Magnoliopsida; Proteales; Nelumbonaceae.
GCAGAUGUAGCUUAAACUAUAGAGCGCUCGCUUUGCAUGCGAGAGGUAUGGUGUUCGACACCCUACAUCUCCA